RNAcentral lists this ribosomal RNA (253 nucleotides) under uncultured bacterium. RNAcentral describes it as "partial 16S ribosomal RNA". It matches the Rfam family "Bacterial small subunit ribosomal RNA", at positions 524 to 776 of the family's 1533-position model. The record is from RNAcentral.
UACGAAGGGUGCAAGCGUUACUCGGAAUUACUGGGCGUAAAGCGUGCGUAGGUGGUUCGUUAAGUCUGAUGUGAAAGCCCUGGGCUCAACCUGGGAAUGGCAUUGGAAACUGGCGACCUAGAGUGCGGUAGAGGGUAGUGGAAUUCCCGGUGUAGCAGUGAAAUGCGUAGAGAUCGGGAGGAACAUCUGUGGCGAAGGCGACUACCUGGCCUGUUCUUGACGCUGAGGCGCGAAAGCUAGGGGAGCAAACGGG